ACAUGGUAAGGGUUAUGGGAAGGGGCACGGAGGCGAGCAUGGAAAAGGAUAUGAGUAUGAACACGGUAAGGGUCAUGAGAAGGGGCACGGAGGCGAGCAUGGAAAAGGGUAUGAGUAUGAACACGGUAAGGGUCAUGAGAAGGGGCACGGAGGCGAGCAUGGAAAAGGGUAUGAAUAUGAACAUGGUAAGGGUCAUGAGAAGGGGCACGGAGGCGAGCAUGGAAAUGGGUAUGAAUAUGAACAUGGUAAGGGUUAUGAGAAGGGGCACAAGCAUGAAAACGGAAAGGAAAAUGGAAAAGAGCACGGAUAUGAACAUGACAAGGAGCAUGGAAAUGAACAUGGAAAAGGGUAUGAACAUGGUGAGGGCUACGAACAUGGACAUGGAAAAGAACAUGGAUAUGAACAUGAAAAGGGACAUGGAAAAGAAUACGGAAAAGGGCAUGGAUAUGAAUAUGGAAAAGGGUA
RNAcentral lists this long non-coding RNA (465 nucleotides) under Ricinus communis (castor bean). Its description in RNAcentral is "long non-coding RNA (RCOM_LNC002680)". The record is from RNAcentral. Lineage: Eukaryota; Viridiplantae; Streptophyta; Magnoliopsida; Malpighiales; Euphorbiaceae.